Long non-coding RNA from Sorghum bicolor (sorghum), 1156 nucleotides. RefSeq lists it as uncharacterized. The record is from RefSeq and is a predicted model, not a curated record. Lineage: Eukaryota; Viridiplantae; Streptophyta; Magnoliopsida; Poales; Poaceae. The transcript has 2 exons.
AGCCACCCCGGGCCGCCGCCGCCCGCGCCUGGCCGGGUCGCCUCCACCGCGCCCCCGUGCCGCCGUUUGCCAGAUCCGGCCACCGGCGCUCCGCACGCCCCGCCCGGCUCGGUGGCCGUCGUCCUCCUGCCGACCGGCGCCGGGGAAGAAGGGCAACGCCCCUGCACCUGCCCCAAACUGGUAGGAGGAGGAGGAGAGAAGAAGGGGCAAGGCCGCCGGCAGCAGGGAGAAGAGAAGAGAAGGGGCUGCAGGGGAGGAGGCAGGGAAGAAGAAAGGAGAAGGAGAGGAGAGAGGAGGAGGGGAGAAGAGAGGGGGCUAAAGGAGAAGGCAAGGAGGAGAAGGGAGGUGCCGUCGAUUUAGGGAUCGCUUCGGUCGUCCCCGUCGUCGUCUUGCUGUUGUCGUCGUCCUUGUCCAUAGCCGGCACCGUAGGUAUAACCCCUAUAUCUAAAUCGGGUUGUCGGCCAUCGUGCCCUAUGUGUCCUUGAUGGCCUUCGUGUCGAGUUUAUGGAUGUGUGGCCUUCGCGCCAGUUCGAGGCUUUCUAGGAGCACCAGCAGCUUUAGAUGCAGGACUUCGCCAACUACUUUCACUCUCCUUCAGAUCUCUGGUGUGGUCGUGCCUCCGCUGCCUCUCUAGCUGUUCGCUCCACUCUCUCUUCCUAGCCCUUUAGGCCCUUUAGUGCCUUCUCCGGCACAGUCGGUGGGGUCUUCGAACUCGACUCCUUGAGAUGGCGCUUCUCUAGGCCAUGGGUGCCCGGUUGGGCAGAGUCCACACACGUGCCCAGGUGGCGCUCCUCCUCCGCCUCCGACGCACGGGUGGUCUCCGUGGUCAGCUAGCGCUCCUCCACACCCUCCAGCAGCACGGGUGGUCUCCGUGGUCAGGUGGCGCGCCUGGGCCUCAGCACCCUGCAGGUUGGCCGCACAUGGGUGGCAAGGUGAGAGCUCUUCACACUCUCAGGGACACGCGGACGCCGGGUCAUAGCUGGACCAGUGAUGCAGGGACUCGUUUGUGACAUGGACUUGUUAUGGAUGUUGGAUGUGAGCCUUAGGAGGUGCGAUGUUGAACUAUUGUUGCAUUUGUGACUAUAUAUGUGGAUUUGUGACUAUUGAUGGAUGAAUGUGUGGAUUUCUAUUAUAUAUGUUAUGUGGAUGUCUAUUA